AUGCCUAGGAAAUUGCCCUGAUGUGGGGGAUAACCAUUGGAAACGAUGGCUAAUACCGCAUGAUGCCUACGGGCCAAAGAGGGGGACCUUCGGGCCUCUCGCGUCAGGAUAUGCCUAGGUGGGAUUAGCUAGUUGGUGAGGUAAGGGCUCACCAAGGCGACGAUCCCUAGCUGGUCUGAGAGGAUGAUCAGCCACACUGGAACUGAGACACGGUCCAGACUCCUACGGGAGGCAGCAGUGGGGAAUAUUGCACAAUGGGCGCAAGCCUGAUGCAGCCAUGCCGCGUGUGUGAAGAAGGCCUUCGGGUUGUAAAGCACUUUCAGUCGUGAGGAAGGUAGUGUAGUUAAUAGCUGCAUUAUUUGACGUUAGCGACAGAAGAAGCACCGGCUAACUCCGUGCCAGCAGCCGCGGUAAUACGGAGGGUGCGAGCGUUAAUCGGAAUUACUGGGCGUAAAGCGCAUGCAGGUGGUUUGUUAAGUCAGAUGUGAAAGCCCGGGGCUCAACCUCGGAAUAGCAUUUGAAACUGGCAGACUAGAGUACUGUAGAGGGGGGUAGAAUUUCAGGUGUAGCGGUGAAAUGCGUAGAGAUCUGAAGGAAUACCGGUGGCGAAGGCGGCCCCCUGGACAGAUACUGACACUCAGAUGCGAAAGCGUGGGGAGCAAACAGGAUUAGAUACCCUGGUAGUCCACGCCGUAAACGAUGUCUACUUGGAGGUUGUGGCCUUGAGCCGUGGCUUUCGGAGCUAACGCGUUAAGUAGACCGCCUGGGGAGUACGGUCGCAAGAUUAAAACUCAAAUGAAUUGACGGGGGCCCGCACAAGCGGUGGAGCAUGUGGUUUAAUUCGAUGCAACGCGAAGAACCUUACCUACUCUUGACAUCCAGAGAACUUUCCAGAGAUGGAUUGGUGCCUUCGGGAACUCUGAGACAGGUGCUGCAUGGCUGUCGUCAGCUCGUGUUGUGAAAUGUUGGGUUAAGUCCCGCAACGAGCGCAACCCUUAUCCUUGUUUGCCAGCGAGUAAUGUCGGGAACUCCAGGGAGACUGCCGGUGAUAAACCGGAGGAAGGUGGGGACGACGUCAAGUCAUCAUGGCCCUUACGAGUAGGGCUACACACGUGCUACAAUGGCGCAUACAGAGGGCGGCCAACUUGCGAAAGUGAGCGAAUCCCAAAAAGUGCGUCGUAGUCCGGAUUGGAGUCUGCAACUCGACUCCAUGAAGUCGGAAUCGCUAGUAAUCGUGGAUCAGAAUGCCACGGUGAAUACGUUCCCGGGCCUUGUACACACCGCCCGUCACACCAUGGGAGUGGGCUGCAAAAGAAGUAGGUAGUUUAACCUU
This 1333-nucleotide ribosomal RNA is filed under the name Vibrio sp. Its description in RNAcentral is "bacterial SSU rRNA". It matches the Rfam family "Bacterial small subunit ribosomal RNA", at positions 113 to 1442 of the family's 1533-position model. The record is from RNAcentral. Lineage: Bacteria; Pseudomonadati; Pseudomonadota; Gammaproteobacteria; Vibrionales; Vibrionaceae.